RNAcentral lists this unclassified non-coding RNA (328 nucleotides) under Hevea brasiliensis (rubber tree). The record is from RNAcentral. Lineage: Eukaryota; Viridiplantae; Streptophyta; Magnoliopsida; Malpighiales; Euphorbiaceae.
UCUUCUUCCCCAACUAGAGCGCCUAGGAUGUAGGAUACUACGCCCUUCAGCCAAGGUGGUGUUGCUUAGCUCUGGGGAUGCAGACAAGAGCUCUUCAUCCUUAUCUAACUGAUUAUCAUUUCUAGGUGGUUCUUCAAAAUCAUCAGUCCCUGUUGCAGUCUCAUGCCAACCUGGCUUUCUUCCCAUUUCUAAGUCGCUCAUUGUUUUCUCCAAGUUCGGACUAACAAAACCACCAGCCACUUCACGAGCUGGUAUCCCAGCUUCUCUCUGCACUCUCUCCCUGAAUCUGUUCUUCGAAGGAGGAAUACUGGUGCAGAAUAUCUCUAAG